CGCCCCUUGGAAAGUAGCUUAGGUCUUAGAUAUAAGGGGUACUGCCUGCCCAGUGACGUAGAAGUUAAACGGCCGCGGUAUUUUGACCGUGCAAAGGUAGCAUAAUCAUUUGCCUUUUAAAUGGAGGCUGGAAUGAAUGGCAAGACGGAAAUUUAACUGUCUCUUUCUUAAAGACCCUGAAAUUAAUGUUCUAGUGAAGAAGCUAGAAUAUAAUCGUGGGACGAGAAGACCCUGUUGAGCUUUAGCAGGUAAGGUAGUCGUAAUAUUUUUAUUUAGGGCUAAUUAUUAAGAAUUAAUUUGAGGAUUAAAAGUUUACCUUAAAUAAAAGGAAUGUCGUAUUUUAUUCUGUUUUGGUUGGGGCAACUGCGGAGUAUAAUUAGCCUCCGCUUUAUAAAGUAUAAAAGUACAUUUUUUGCUAAUAAAAGUUUUUUAUGAGUGAUCCACUACAAAAGUGAUCAAAGGAAUAAGUUACCACAGGGAUAACAGCGUAAUUUUUUUGGAGAGUUCAUAUUGAUAAAAAAGUUUGCGACCUCGAUGUUGGAUCGAGACUUCCUGGAGGUGCAGCAGCUUCCAAGGGUUGGUCUGUUCGACCAUUAAAGUCUUACG
Molecule: ribosomal RNA, 606 nt
Filed under: Asteroidea sp. RCMBAR2355
Lineage: Eukaryota; Metazoa; Echinodermata; Asteroidea
Description: partial 16S ribosomal RNA
Rfam family: Bacterial large subunit ribosomal RNA
Source: RNAcentral